AAAGGCGUAGGUGAUGGACAACAGGUUGAUAUUCCUGUACUACCGAUAACCGUUUGAGAGAUGGGAUGACACAGUAGGAUAAGCUAAGCACACUGUUGGUUAUGUGUGCCCAAGCAUUGAGGCAGUCAAAGUAGGCAAAUCCGCUUUGAUAAUGCUGGGAUGUGAUGGGGAGCGAAAUUUAGUAGCGAAGUAGCUGAUUUCACACUGUCAAGAAAAGUCUCUAUCGAGGUUAAAGGUACCCGUACCGCAAACCGA
This 255-nucleotide ribosomal RNA is filed under the name Clostridioides difficile. RNAcentral describes it as "partial 23S ribosomal RNA". It matches the Rfam family "Bacterial large subunit ribosomal RNA", at positions 1405 to 1657 of the family's 2925-position model. The record is from RNAcentral. Lineage: Bacteria; Bacillati; Bacillota; Clostridia; Peptostreptococcales; Peptostreptococcaceae.